CUUAGUGGCGGACGGGUGAGUAACACGUGAGCAACCUGCCUAUCCUAGGGGGAUAACGUUCUGAAAAGAACGCUAAUACCGCAUAACGUGCGAGGGAGACAUCUCUCUUGUACCAAAGGAGCAAUCCGCUGAUAGAUGGGCUCGCGUCCGAUUAGGUAGUUGGUAGGGUAACGGCCUACCAAGCCGACGAUCGGUAGCCGGACUGAGAGGUUGAACGGCCACAUUGGGACUGAGACACGGCCCAGACUCCUACGGGAGGCAGCAGUGGGGAAUAUUGCACAAUGGGGGAAACCCUGAUGCAGCGACGCCGCGUGAGGGAAGAAGGUUUUCGGAUUGUAAACCUCUGUCCUUGGUGACGAAAAUGACGGUAGCCAAGGAGGAAGCCACGGCUAACUACGUGCCAGCAGCCGCGGUAAUACGUAGGUGGCAAGCGUUGUCCGGAAUUACUGGGUGUAAAGGGAGCGUAGGCAGGAAGAUAAGUUGGACGUCUAAUCUAUCGGCUCAACCGAUAGUCGCGUUCAAAACUGUUUUUCUUGAGUGAAGUAGAGGUAAGCGGAAUUCCUAGUGUAGCGGUGAAAUGCGUAAAUAUUAGGAGGAACACCAGUGGCGAAGGCGGCUUACUGGGCUUUAACUGACGCUGAGGCUCGAAAGCGUGGGUAGCAAACAGGAUUAGAUACCCUGGUAGUCCACGCUGUAAACGAUGAUUACUAGGUGUGGGGGGGACUGACCCCUUCCGUGCCGGAUUUAACACAA
Molecule: ribosomal RNA, 753 nt
Filed under: uncultured Oscillospiraceae bacterium
Lineage: Bacteria; Bacillati; Bacillota; Clostridia; Eubacteriales; Oscillospiraceae
Description: bacterial SSU rRNA
Rfam family: Bacterial small subunit ribosomal RNA
Source: RNAcentral